This is a long non-coding RNA of Nanorana parkeri, 218 nucleotides long. RefSeq lists it as uncharacterized. The record is from RefSeq and is a predicted model, not a curated record. The transcript has 3 exons. NCBI's taxonomy places the organism in Eukaryota, Metazoa, Chordata, Amphibia, Anura, Dicroglossidae.
AAGUAAAUUUUAGAGUUGCAUCAAUAAAUCAGGACAUGGACAUUCAAAAUAACAAUUUUUCCCUCAUCGAGUUGCAGGAUCCACAGGGGAACCGCCUCGCUCAAUGGAAAGACGUUGCUCCAAAGUCUGGCAUAGCAGAGAUGUCCUACCAGCUGGCGAAAGAACCUAAUUUUGGAAAAUAUACACUAAGGGUUAAUGGUGUUACAAGGGAGAUUGAA